RNAcentral lists this unclassified non-coding RNA (853 nucleotides) under Melitaea cinxia (Glanville fritillary). RNAcentral describes it as "misc RNA ENSMCXG00005013784.1". The record is from RNAcentral. Lineage: Eukaryota; Metazoa; Arthropoda; Insecta; Lepidoptera; Nymphalidae.
GGUGUUUUAUAUGCUCAAUCAAUUAUUAUUCUGUGUAAAAUUAGACUUAUUACUGCGAUUAUAACAGAAUAACAUCCAGUUACCCACUAUAAUUAACUGGUCUACUUGAUAUAUAUUGGAUUAUUGGUAUAUUAUAAGGACUGAAUGAAGUUUGAACUAAUAGGCUAGACCUCACACUUCACUUAGAGGGUUAACUAUUAUUCACUUGACGCUACAUCACCAUUCUAUACUAAACAAAUUCAUUUAACUGACCAAACUAUGCAAUUGGUGCAUAAGAUUCUAAAUAUUUCUUGGAAAUGUAUUUAAACUUUUCAUUUUACAUUCGAUCCUUUAGGGAAUAUCAGAGGAUAGCUAUUACAGUAUCUCGAAGAGAUAAUAGAUAAUUCCCAAACCUUCAGUGGCUACGUCUCAGCUCUUUAUGUCAUAACAGGUGACGAGAACUGAUUCGAGGACUUUUUUUUUAAAUUUUUAGUAUUACUGACGAAAAUUACUGGGCUAAGUUUCCGCUAUGCUAUUUUAGCUAUACUACAUUCUCCUGCAUGACUCCAUCUGAAACUGAUCCAACUUUUUGUGAUCAGUCUUUAUCUGUUUGUUUUUUAAUAUUCAACCGAUCUUAAGAAGAUGUACGUAUAAUAAAUUCGAUAACUGUAUGUAGCGGUAAAAACAUCACGUCGUAUUAGAAAUGAGAGACUUGUAAACUUUACUUGUUAAGGUUAAAAGCGAUUCACGAAUAUUAUAAUCAUAUAUAUUAAUACGCUAAGCUUUUCGAUGUUUGCCUCCCCUUUGAGAAAAUAACCUCACAAUUACUCCACAUAAAUUAUAUAUCAUUUUAUAGAUAAUUGCUUGUUCUACC